UUCCAUGAAGCCGGAAUUGCUAGUAAUGGCAGGUCAGCAUACUGCCGUGAAUACGUUCCCGGGCCUUGUACACACCGCCCGUCACACCAUGAGAGUUGGGAAUACCCGAAGCCUGUGAGCUAACUAUAUGAGGCAGCAGUCGAAGGUAGAAUCAAUGAUUGGGGUGAAGUCGUAACAAGGUACC
Molecule: ribosomal RNA, 184 nt
Filed under: uncultured bacterium
Lineage: Bacteria
Description: partial 16S ribosomal RNA
Rfam family: Bacterial small subunit ribosomal RNA
Source: RNAcentral